UGGAUGAUGUGGAUUAAUUCGAUGCAACGCGAAAACCUUUACCUACCCUUGACAUGUCCGGAAUCCCGAAGAGAUUUGGGAGUGCUCGCAAGAGAGCCGGAACACAGGUGCUGCAUGGCUGUCGUCAGCUCGUGUCGUGAGAUGUUGGGUUAAGUCCCGCAACGAGCGCAACCCUUGUCAUUAGUUGCCAUCAUUUGGUUGGGCACUCUAAUGAGACUGCCGGUGACAAACCGGAGGAAGGUGGGGAUGACGUCAAGUCCUCAUGGCCCUUAUGGGUAGGGCUUCACACGUCAUACAAUGGUCGGUACAGAGGGUUGCCAACCCGCGAGGGGGAGCUAAUCCCACAAAGCCGAUCGUAGUCCGGAUCGCAGUCUGCAACUCGACUGCGUGAAGUCGGAAUCGCUAGUAAUCGUGGAUCAGCAUGUCACGGUGAAUACGUUCCCGGGUCUU
Molecule: ribosomal RNA, 450 nt
Filed under: uncultured Rhodocyclaceae bacterium
Lineage: Bacteria; Pseudomonadati; Pseudomonadota; Betaproteobacteria; Rhodocyclales; Rhodocyclaceae
Description: bacterial SSU rRNA
Rfam family: Bacterial small subunit ribosomal RNA
Source: RNAcentral